AACCAUAGGUCUAACCCAAUUAAUGGACCUAAUUCCCACUAACCCAUUAACCCAAUAUGUUAUAAUUUGUGUCUUAGGUUCUUCAAUUCAUAAUCCUAGAACCUAAUCAAACAACUUCUUAAUUCUUAAUUAAGUUUUGGGCUGAGGGUUGGGUUCGGCUUUUCAAAAAAUAAUUUUCAUAUUUGUAAAAUAAUUUUACAAUAUGAUUCUACCAACCAUAUUGCAUGUUUGAUUCAUAAUCAAGAUACAAGUGAAUUAAACAUGAAACUACUUUAGAUCUAAUCUAAACAGGUUCAUGUAAUUGAAAUAAUUUCAACUUUAAACAAUUUCUUUGC
Molecule: long non-coding RNA, 335 nt
Filed under: Elaeis guineensis (African oil palm)
Lineage: Eukaryota; Viridiplantae; Streptophyta; Magnoliopsida; Arecales; Arecaceae
Description: long non-coding RNA (EGUI_LNC066767)
Source: RNAcentral